GUGGGGAAUAUUGCGCAAUGGGGGGAACCCUGACGCAGCAACGCCGCGUGAGUGAAGAAGGUUUUCGGAUCGUAAAACUCUGUCAUUAGGGAAGAAACAAAUGACGGUACCUAAUGAGGAAGCCCCGGCUAACUACGUGCCAGCAGCCGCGGUAAUACGUAGGGGGCGAGCGUUGUCCGGAAUUACUGGGCGUAAAGGGUGCGUAGGCGGCCGAUUAAGUCAGAUGUGAAAUACCAGGGCUCAACCUUGGGGGUGCAUUUGAAACUGGUUGGCUUGAGUGCAGGAGAGGAAAGUGGAAUUCCUAGUGUAGCGGUGAAAUGCGUAGAGAUUAGGAGGAACACCAGUGGCGAAGGCGACUUUCUGGACUGUAACUGACGCUGAGGCACGAAAGCGUGGGUAGCGAACAGG
Molecule: ribosomal RNA, 408 nt
Filed under: bacterium
Lineage: Bacteria
Description: bacterial SSU rRNA
Rfam family: Bacterial small subunit ribosomal RNA
Source: RNAcentral